AAUCUGGGUAUAUAUAUGUAAAACUUUGAGGUGUGCUUACAAUUUGUACACUUUACUGGAGGUUACACCUCAACUAAAAACAAAAACAGGACAAAAAAGCUAAACAAGAUGCCAAUUCCCUAGUUAAAAUCUUUCAGUGGCUUCACACCGCCCUGGAAUAAAAACCCACCCCUGCCUGACUUGGCCCCAGCCUUUCUCUCCAACCUCACCUCCUACUGUGCUCUCCCUUGCUUGCUAGAACCCUGAUUUUCAUUUAAUUUCUCUAACAAGCUAAAUGCUUUCCUGCCUGCCUCAGGACUUUUGCUCAGGCUGUUCCCUCUGCCCAGAAUCCUUCCCCAUGCUUAGCACCUUCUCUUCCUUCAUGUCACCUACCCAGGCUUUUCCAGACCACCAUAUCUAAAAUAUAUCAGACCAUUUAUUCUUUCUGCUCCCAAAUUAUUGUAUUUUAUAAUAUUUUUUUUCCACUGUCGGGACCAGCUUAUCCAUCACAUAUUACAUAUCUGCUAUUAUGCUAAGUGCUAUGUAGAUAACCAAUACCAUGAGCCCUAUACUCAAAGACCAAACAUAUCUCUUUUCUCUUUAUUUUUUAUUUCUUGUAAAUCAAGGUAGAGGUACUUAAAUUAAAAAAAAAAUCAUGAGUUCAUUCCAGGGCAGCAGCCUCCACCCUAGAGGGGGAGGGGGCGAUGAUGGGUUGAACUGUGUCCUCCAAAAAGACAACAAGUAAGUUCAAAACAGGGGAUAAGCAUGCCUGAGAAAAAUGUAAAAGCCAUAACCCACAGGCAUAACAUACACACAUCAACAGAAAAUGACUUUAUUCUUUUUUUCACAAAAUUAAUUCAGAGGCUAAAACCACAGGACCCAGAGAGCAGGUGUGGGGCACCAGGACUCCUGGUGCAGCAAGUACAUCUCAGAUGCCUUGUUCUUCCAACUCAGCCUUCUGAUGUCCAACUUUUGUUUUUGACAAGUGCAAUCAUUUCAAGAACAGGGCCAUUCAGAACCACUUCAUUUACUCAAAAGCUCUUCCGAGAGGAUCUCUGCUUGACUGCUUCAAGGAUCUCUCGGCUGGUGACGGCUCUCCUGUGGUUGUAGAAGGACAGCCUAACCGCCUCCAGGCUAACCCGUUCCAGCCGCCAAUCCUCCAGAGAGCCCAGGGCAUCCAAGAUCCAGGAGUACCCACUGAAGUCUGGGUGGGUCUG
This 1196-nucleotide long non-coding RNA is filed under the name Equus asinus (donkey). RNAcentral describes it as "lncRNA (ENSEASG00005033503.1)". The record is from RNAcentral. Lineage: Eukaryota; Metazoa; Chordata; Mammalia; Perissodactyla; Equidae.